UUGGCGACCGGCGCACGGGUGCGUAACGCGUAUGCAACCUACCUUUAGCAGGGGCAUAACACUGAGAAAUUGGUACUAAUUCCCCAUAACAUUCGAGAAGGCAUCUUCUUGGGUUAAAAACUCCGGUGGUUAAAGAUGGGCAUGCGUUGUAUUAGCUAGUUGGUGAGGUAACGGCUCACCAAGGCAACGAUACAUAGGGGGACUGAGAGGUUAACCCCCCACAUUGGUACUGAGACACGGACCAA
RNAcentral lists this ribosomal RNA (245 nucleotides) under uncultured bacterium. RNAcentral's name for it is "partial 16S ribosomal RNA". It matches the Rfam family "Bacterial small subunit ribosomal RNA", at positions 88 to 334 of the family's 1533-position model. The record is from RNAcentral.